RNAcentral lists this long non-coding RNA (721 nucleotides) under Sorghum bicolor (sorghum). RNAcentral's name for it is "long non-coding RNA (SBIC_LNC006020)". The record is from RNAcentral. Lineage: Eukaryota; Viridiplantae; Streptophyta; Magnoliopsida; Poales; Poaceae.
GGUGCUAUAAAUAAAAACCUAUAAUAAUAAAGACAAAACAUCAUAGUAACUUUUUAAAUGAAUUAAGCAGAAAGUAUCAAUUUAUGUUGAAAAGAAGACAAAACCCAGAGUAGACAAUGGAGCAACAUAGGCAUACCAAAAAAAAUCAUAGAAUAGAAAUUAUAUGAUAUUGUUGUUAAUUUUACUAGCUAGUAUAUUUUGUCUUAACACCAUUUGAACAAAGAUUCACCUUCCAUACAAGUGAUCGACCAAACUGAAUUAAUAGAGAUUUUAUGCACCCUAUGCAAUAGGGAUUACAAAAUAGUGCAUAUACAAAGCCAAAACCUCGGGACAAAUACAAAACAAAAAAUCUAAUUGUUCCUUCUACACCAAAUCUGACAAUGCUUCCUUCUCAUCAUAUAUAGUAACACCAAUUCCACUUGUUUGCCUCCAGUAUCUCACACCAAGCAUACAAGUACAUAUUGCAAACUAAUAUUUGAGAAGAAACAACUUGAGAAGGCCAACAAAUUAUCUUUGGCUAGCCUAACCAUUUAUAUACGUUGGAAGAUGCGUCCUUACAUCCGACGCCGGGUAGAUCAUCUGUUUCUUAUUGUGUUAUUCACGCAUAUAGUAUUAAUAUGAGCUCAGCUCACACCCAAACAAAAAAAGACCCUCACAGCUAGCUAGUUCAUGUGUUCUGUUCUAUGCACUACAAAAAAAAAUCUACUUGACCCUCACACCU